RNAcentral lists this unclassified non-coding RNA (229 nucleotides) under plant metagenome. Its description in RNAcentral is "partial contains small subunit ribosomal RNA, internal transcribed spacer 1, and 5.8S ribosomal RNA". The record is from RNAcentral.
UCUCCGUAGGUGAACCUGCGGAGGGAUCAUUACAGAGUUCAUGCCCUACCGGGUAGAUCUCCCACCCUAUGUUAUUAUUACUUUGUUGCUUUUGCGGGCCGUUAGGCUCCGGCCCGACUACCGGCCCCGGCUGGUAAGCGCCCGCCAGAGGACCCAAAACCCUGAAUAUUAGUGUCGUCUGAGUACUAUAUAAUAGUUAAAACUUUCAACAACGGAUCUCUUGGUUCUG